GUGGUUGCCAGAUGGGUGCUCUCUACUAGUGCUGUGCAGAGGCUAUCACUGAGGCUUCUGUGAGACUGUAGAGUUUCCCCCCUGGGCCACAGAGCCAG
Non-coding RNA from Equus caballus (horse), 98 nucleotides. Lineage: Eukaryota; Metazoa; Chordata; Mammalia; Perissodactyla; Equidae. The record is from Rfam.